ACCGGACAGAUCCCAAGUUCCUCCAGUCCUUAGGAAUACUUCACAGAACAGCAUGGUGACUGUCUAUAUUUUGCAGAGCAUUCUGCAGAGGGAUAGGCUCUCUGGCCUUUUUUGCUACCAUUUUAUACAGCCUCCCGCUGCGAAUGGGACUGCUUUGUCUCAACUGACAGAACCAGCAAGCCAGAAAGUUUGCCACUUCUGAAUGAUUGCCUAUUGCCUCUUCUGUAGUUUUUGGCAUCAGAAAAUGGUUGCAAAGCAUCUUAGAGGCUACAGAUUUUUUAAAUCUUAUAUUUAAUGUUCCCCCAACUACUAUUUCCCUCAAGACAAAGAAUGCCUUGGAUCACCUUUUCAAAAAGCAAAUGUAACCACAAAAAUCUCCAGGAAAACCUGAGUAUUUCCUCAGCUCUUAGAUGUUUUACAUCUGUAGGUUUAAAAAUUCAAAACUCUCAAUUGUAUUCAGUGGAGAA
Molecule: long non-coding RNA, 467 nt
Organism: Sorex fumeus (smoky shrew)
Lineage: Eukaryota; Metazoa; Chordata; Mammalia; Eulipotyphla; Soricidae
Exons: 3
Source: RefSeq, a predicted model, not a curated record